RNAcentral lists this ribosomal RNA (425 nucleotides) under uncultured bacterium. RNAcentral's name for it is "bacterial SSU rRNA". It matches the Rfam family "Bacterial small subunit ribosomal RNA", at positions 356 to 773 of the family's 1533-position model. The record is from RNAcentral.
GGGGAAUAUUGGACAAUGGGGGCAACCCUGAUCCAGCGACGCCGCGUGGGUGAAGAAGGCCUGCGGGUUGUAAAGCCCUUUCGGUUGGGAAGAAAAGUUGCGACCUAACACGUCGCGACCUUGACGUAACCAACUAAAGAAGCACCGGCUAACUCUGUGCCAGCAGCCGCGGUAAUACAGAGGGUGCGAGCGUUAAUCGGAAUUACUGGGCGUAAAGCGCGCGUAGGCGGCUUUUCAAGUCGAUUGUGAAAUCCCCGGGCUUAACCUGGGAACUGCAGUCGAGACUGUCUAGCUAGAGUAUGGGAGAGGGAAGUGGAAUUUCAGGUGUAGCGGUGAAAUGCGUAGAUAUCUGAAGGAACAUCAGUGGCGAAAGCGACUUCCUGGACCAAUACUGACGCUCAUGUGCGAAAGCGUGGGGAGCAAAC